CCUACGGGAGGCAGCAGUGAGGAAUAUUGCACAAUGGGCGCAAGUCUGAUCCAGCCAAGUCGCGUGAAUGAUGACUGCCCUAUGGUUGUUAAACUUCUUUUAUAUGGGAGUAAGUGGUUCCGCGUAUGUGAUUUUGUAUGGACCAUAUCUAUAAAGAACGCCUCACUUCGUUCCAUCAGCCGCGGUAAUACGGAGGAUCCGAGCGUUAUGCGAAUUUAUUGGGUUUAAAGGGAGCGUAGGUGGAUUGUUAAGUCAGUUGUGAAAGUUUGCGGCUUAACCGGAAAAUUGCAGUUGAAACUGGCAGUCUUGAGUACAGUAGAGGUGGGUGGAAUUCGUGGUGUAGCGGUGAAAUGCGUAGAUAUAUGGAAGAAUACCGGUGGCGAAGGCAGCUCACUGGACUGAAACUGACACUGAGGUUCGAAAGCGUGGGUAGCAAACAGGAUUAGAUACCCGUGUAGUC
RNAcentral lists this ribosomal RNA (460 nucleotides) under uncultured bacterium. Its description in RNAcentral is "partial 16S ribosomal RNA". It matches the Rfam family "Bacterial small subunit ribosomal RNA", at positions 338 to 795 of the family's 1533-position model. The record is from RNAcentral.